Molecule: ribosomal RNA, 303 nt
Filed under: uncultured Pseudomonas sp.
Lineage: Bacteria; Pseudomonadati; Pseudomonadota; Gammaproteobacteria; Pseudomonadales; Pseudomonadaceae
Description: bacterial SSU rRNA
Rfam family: Bacterial small subunit ribosomal RNA
Source: RNAcentral
GUCCCGUAACGAGCGCAACCCUUGUCCUUAGUUACCAGCACGUUAUGGUGGGCACUCUAAGGAGACUGCCGGUGACGAAACCGGAGGAAGGGUGGGGAUGACGUCAAGUCAUCAUCGGCCCUUACGGCCGUGGGCUACACACGUGCUACAAUGGUCGGUACAAAGGGUUGCCAAGCCGCGAGGUGGAGCUAAUCCCAUAAAACCGAUCGUAGUCCGGAUCGCAGUCUGCAACUCGACUGCGUGAAGUCGGAAUCGCUAGUAAUCGUGAAUCAGAAUGUCACGGUGAAUACGUUCCCGGGCCUU